This 301-nucleotide ribosomal RNA is filed under the name uncultured bacterium. RNAcentral's name for it is "partial 16S ribosomal RNA". It matches the Rfam family "Bacterial small subunit ribosomal RNA", at positions 510 to 808 of the family's 1533-position model. The record is from RNAcentral.
CGUAGCCGCGGGAAUACGAAGGGGGCUAGCGUUGUUCGGAAUUACUGGGCGUAAAGCGCACGUAGGCGGAUAUUUAAGUCAGGGGUGAAAUCCCGCAGCUCAACUGCGGAACUGCCUUUGAUACUGGGUAUCUUGAGUAUGGAAGAGGUUAGUGGAAUUGCGAGUGUAGAGGUGAAAUUCGUAGAUAUUCGCAGGAACACCAGUGGCGAAGGCGGCUAACUGGUCCAUAACUGACGCUGAGGUGCGAAAGCGUGGGGAGCAAACAGGAUUAGAUACCCCCGUAGUCCCUGUCUCUUAUACA